UUACAAUGGCAGGUACAGAGGGAUGCUACCGGGCGACCGGAUGCGGAUCUCGAAAGCCUGUCCCAGUUCGGACUGGAGUCUGCAACCCGACUCCACGAAGUUGGAUUCGCUAGUAAUCGCGCAUCAGCCAUGGCGCGGCGAAUACGUUCCCGGGCCUUGUACACACCGCCCGUCAAGCCAUGGGAGCCGGGGGCGCCUGAAGUCCGGGACCGCGAGGACCGGCCUAGGGCGAAACUGGUAACUGGGGCUAAGUCGUAACAAGGUAAC
This 267-nucleotide ribosomal RNA is filed under the name uncultured bacterium. RNAcentral describes it as "partial 16S ribosomal RNA". It matches the Rfam family "Bacterial small subunit ribosomal RNA", at positions 1225 to 1500 of the family's 1533-position model. The record is from RNAcentral.